This 124-nucleotide transfer RNA is filed under the name Stachybotrys chlorohalonatus IBT 40285. RNAcentral's name for it is "Stachybotrys chlorohalonata IBT 40285 tRNA". It matches the Rfam family "tRNA". Rfam says of the family: Transfer RNA (tRNA) molecules are approximately 80 nucleotides in length. Their secondary structure includes four short double-helical elements and three loops (D, anti-codon, and T loops). Further hydrogen bonds mediate the characteristic L-shaped molecular structure. tRNAs have two regions of fundamental functional importance: the anti-codon, which is responsible for specific mRNA codon recognition, and the 3' end, to which the tRNAs corresponding amino acid is attached (by aminoacyl-tRNA synthetases). tRNAs cope with the degeneracy of the genetic code in two manners: having more than one tRNA (with a specific anti-codon) for a particular amino acid; and 'wobble' base-pairing, i.e. permitting non-standard base-pairing at the 3rd anti-codon position. The record is from Rfam by way of RNAcentral. Lineage: Eukaryota; Fungi; Ascomycota; Sordariomycetes; Hypocreales; Stachybotryaceae.
GCCCCUGUAGCGCAAUGGUAGCGCGUGAGACUGUUCGUACCCCCUUGGUCCUCGAUUUCCCAUUCUUUACUAACAAAGCUGUAGUCUAAUCUCAAGGUUGCGGGUUCGAGCCCCGCCAGGGGUU